AUUUUCUAAAUGCCUAAACCUAAUUAUAGAAACCAGAGAGUGAUGACAUCUGAGGGUUAGUUCCAAGAAAAGACAAAAGUUCUGAAACUUAAGACAAUAUUGGCUGGUAAGGAAAAUGUCAGUAGGCCUACAGUAGCAAAAAUAAUAUAAUAAUAGAAAAAAAAAUGUAUUCCUUUAAAACCUUCUAAUGAAUUAAUCAACUAUAGCAAUUGACACAUAAUUUGGAAAAUAAUAAACUCUGCAGUGGCUACCAAUUAAAGAUGAGCUCCAAAGUCCAUGUAUGACAUUAGCGUGAUCUAUGAGCAGGCCAUUCUGGCAGGGACUCCAUCUAUUAAAGAGAUGAAACAUGCAAUUGUACAAUAGAUAUUCUAACAAUGCAGAGUCAAGAAAAAAUUAAACUUGGAGGAAAUUUUGAGGAGUCUUGUCCAACCAAGGUACAAAUCCAAGAAGUCGACAUCAAAAAGCCAAGAAAAGAGAAAACAGACAUCAUAAAAAUGUGGGUAUUUCAAAGUUGUGAAAAAGAGGAAGAUGACAAAACAAAAGAUCCAACCAAUGAUAGUAAAACCCCCAAUGCAGAAACUAUGGAGGGUUGUUAAUGAAAUGUAAUGUGUCUAUAACAGCAUACUCGCAAAGUGUAGGAAGAAGAUGGCAGUUUGACGAAAUGAAUUCUACAUUUAAAGAGCUGAAGUUUCUAACACCAGUUAGAUGUUCUCAACCUCUUCAAAACAAGACUGCUAAGUUGCCAGAUAUGUUCAAAGAUCAUUAUUCGUGUGUGUCUUCAUUGGAACAGUUAACAGAGUUGGGAGGUGAAAUUGUUGUAUAUGCUUGUCCUAAGGCAGCUCUGUGCAGAUGUAUGUGGAGACCAAAACCACAGCAGAGAAAAAAAGAAUGGCGGUGUGUUGUUUGUUUAUUGUGGUUUUUGCAUAUAGGUCAGGAGUUGGCCACAUACCUAAGUGUUCGCUAACAUUCACAUUACGCAGGUGUUGUGUUGUGUGUGUCAGCAAGUUAAGUCCCAUAUUGUCUAUCUCAACAGACUAAGAUUUUUGUCUAAGAUAGGUGAAUUUUGUCAACUAGUUUACUAUGUUCCUUGAAUAUAGUUAAUAAAUGUCAUUUUAGUUUCAGUGGUAUUUCUAAAACUUAAGCUUGCUUUGUAAUAUAAAAAUUUACUGUUAAAUCAUGAUACUGUAAACAGUUCUCCCAACAAAUAUAAGUACUACCAAGAAAAUUGUGUAUGUUUUUGAAAUAAUACUUAAAUGUCAUAGAUAUAUCCUCUACCUGCUCUGUAGUUUCAAAUAAGUAAUUGGUAAUUGUAAGACAUGAGAUCAUUUUAAAACUGUGUGAAAUAUGAAUCUGGUUGAAAAUCACAUAAAUAGUCUUUAUGUUCCUAUGUU
Pipistrellus kuhlii (Kuhl's pipistrelle) is the source of this 1391-nucleotide long non-coding RNA. RefSeq lists it as uncharacterized. The record is from RefSeq and is a predicted model, not a curated record. The transcript is spliced from 4 exons. NCBI's taxonomy places the organism in Eukaryota, Metazoa, Chordata, Mammalia, Chiroptera, Vespertilionidae.